CCCUUAGAUGUUCUGGGCCGCACGCGCGCUACACUGAUUCAUGCAACAAGUUUUGUCCUUGGUUGAUAGGCCUGGGUAAUCUUUGAACGUGAAUCGUGAUGGGGAUAGAUGAUUGCAAUUAUUCAUCUUCAACGAGGAAUUCCUAGUAAACGCAAGUCAUCAGCUUGCAUUGAUUACGUCCCUGCCCUUUGUACACACCGCCCGUCGCACCUACCGAUUGAAUGGUCCGGUGAAAUCUUCGGAUCUGAGAGAUGUCUGAUUAAUUUCGGACGCCUUUUGGAAAAGUUGUUUAAACCUUACCAUUUAGAGGAAGGUGAANUCGUAACA
Molecule: ribosomal RNA, 327 nt
Filed under: uncultured eukaryote
Lineage: Eukaryota
Description: partial 18S ribosomal RNA
Rfam family: Eukaryotic small subunit ribosomal RNA
Source: RNAcentral